UGGGGGAUAUUGCACAAUGGGCGAAAGCCUGAUGCAGCGACGCCGCGUGGGGGAUGAAGGCCUUCGGGUUGUAAACUUCUUUUGCCCUGAACAAGGCAUGCCUUUGGGGUGUGUUGAGUGUAGGGGUUGAUUAGCGCCGGCUAACUACGUGCCAGCAGCCGCGGUAAUACGUAGGGCGCGAGCGUUGUCCGGAAUUAUUGGGCGUAAAGGGCUUGUAGGUAGCUGGUUGCGUCUGUCGUGAAAGCUCAUGGCUUAACUGUGGGUUUGCGGUGGGUACGGGCUGGCUUGAGUGCAGUAGGGGAGGCUGGAAUUCCUGGUGUAGCGGUGGAAUGCGCAGAUAUCAGGAGGAAUACCGGUGGCGAAGGCGGGUCUCUGGGCUGUUACUGACGCUGAGGAGCGAAAGCGUGGGGAGCGAACAGG
RNAcentral lists this ribosomal RNA (420 nucleotides) under Fusobacteriota bacterium. RNAcentral's name for it is "Fusobacteria bacterium partial 16S ribosomal RNA". It matches the Rfam family "Bacterial small subunit ribosomal RNA", at positions 355 to 776 of the family's 1533-position model. Lineage: Bacteria; Fusobacteriati; Fusobacteriota. The record is from RNAcentral.